This 284-nucleotide long non-coding RNA is filed under the name Solanum tuberosum (potato). RNAcentral's name for it is "long non-coding RNA (STUB_LNC008752)". Lineage: Eukaryota; Viridiplantae; Streptophyta; Magnoliopsida; Solanales; Solanaceae. The record is from RNAcentral.
CUUCAUUACCACACCUACAAUAUCGACCUUCAUCCACAGAUGCCAUGGAAGAAUUGGAGAAGCUCGACAUGAAAUUAUUAAGGGCCAAGAAUUAAAGAAAGGCUGAAGAAGAGAGAAAUUGGAAAAGAAUAGACAAAUUGGGGUCUUAGUUAUGGUACAAUUGGAGAAAAAAUAAUAUAAAUAGAUGAUAUGGAGUAAUAUUACCGUUGGGGACGCCACAUCAGACGAAAAUUUGAUGUUUACGCGCCUUGAAUGAGUGAAAAUCACGCGACACUCCACCUGUG